CGCUAGAGACUCUGCCUCCUAAGAGACACGUUAAGCUGACUCUGUGUCUCUGUCAUUCAUCUUCACUCCCCAGCUGUGCUGUCCUCUACAUGGGAUUUCUUCUCAGGGAGGCUCAUCCCCUGAGCUGGACAGCUCCCAGCUGACUGCCUCCCUGCUCAGUGGCAGCAGCAGAAAGACAGAAUGAAAAAAUCUUUAAAAUCACAAGGAAGGCGGCGGCAGAGGUGAUGGCGGCAGCAGCACCACCUGAGAACAGAGCUGGGCCCGGGCAUGGUGGCGCGUUCUGCACUGUGAGAGCGCAGCGGCCGCUGGAUCGCCAUGCGCCAGCGGCUCCAAAGCUCGGGCCUUUGGCCCUUCGCCUCGGCGACGGGAGGCAGCGUCCCGGAGACGAGACUGCGGGCGCUGAGCAAGCCUUGGGCAUCGUGAGGCUGGAUCUCCCCCGCAGCCACGUGGAUUUCCCUGUGAUCCUCUAUGAGCUGUGAGCCUGGUGGGUGAAGACACAAGCACCCCCUCUGACCCAGCAAGAAACUUCCUGUCACAAGGUGUAGCUUCCAUUGAGCACCCCAGGCUGGGGCCACAGCCCUUCGUGAACUCUGUUGGCCCAGAACCUUCAGCUGUAAGCAGGGCAGCCCUCGGUAUAAAUCGGGUAUUGGUUUGUGUGUGGACAAGAGAGGUUUGGUGUCUGGCAAAGGCUAACGGGAGAGUUACCAGCAGAGCUUUCCCAGCCACAGGGCAUCUGCCAGUCAGGAAUGUGUGGUUCCUGGUUCCUUGCCUGGCUGGUCUGCUUUCUUCCAAGCUUGCCUAGGGCCCAGCCUCACUAAAAGCUACAGCACUUUCCAUGCAAAAUCUGCCUUCUUCCAGCCCCUGGACUUUGGGAGCUCUACACAAGUGGGAACUUCCUUUCCCUCACUUCCUUUACCCCCUAGUCAGAGCAUUUCAGCCAUUUCUACCUCUAUACUUCCUGAUUGGACAGAGGCUGAGGACAGCACCCACCUGAUGCUUCCCACCUACCUGCCAUUUGUUCCCACUUUCACAUGGACAGUUUGCUGGCUGUUAACUGGAAUGAGGACUGGUAUGGGUAGCUUCUCCUUUUCCCAGGGCUUGGCUAAUUGCUCCCCAGUGCAACUAGUUAUUGCCCUCUCCUCAGUUAAGAGGUACAGGCCAGAGUCAGAACAGGCUAUGGGCGUCUGUGCCUAUGGGAAGUUGCCCCAAGCCUAUUCUAACCGCCUCCCCCCUUGCCUUUGCACCAGCCAUUCCCCCUACUAUCCAGUUGGGAGGGUCCACUACCCUGUGAUGAAGACCAACAUACUAGGGCUGGUGCCUGUAGCGCUAUGAGGAGACCACCACUCUUCUGCCACAAUAUCUUCACCCCUUCUGGAUCAGUCAAGGGAAAGUACUAGGGCCCCUUGAAAAGCACAGAAAGGAGGGCAAAAACAUAAAAGGGAAUACUGUACUUAAAGUGUGAAGAUUUGUAAAUAGUCUAGUCCAUGCUGAUGUUAGGGCAGAGUCUGAUUUCUACACAGAAAUGACUUUCUUUUUCUUUUAAUUUCUUAUUGUGCAAGUUCUAUGCUUCUAGCAUGGGACAUGGCUUGGGGAUGAUGCUCCCCAGUAUAGGAAGAUUGUUGUGCUAUUUGUUCGAUUUCAAUAAAAUUAUUUGUAGAUCCUGUAAAAAAAUAAAAUCAGAAGGAAAAAAAUUGUUUAAAGUUGCCAUGGCUACCAAGUGAAAAGUGCAACAUUCUGUAGCAAAUUCUGCAAACUGUAAGAUUUCAUUAUUAAAUACUUUGUUUUCAAUAAAAAACUGAUGUUAAUGUUUAUAAAAUAAUUGAAGAAAUGUUCAAAGUGCUCAUUGUCACUCCUUGUGUUUGAGAAAGAAGUACAGCAGUGAAAUUGUUUUGGAAAAUAUAAAAGUUGUUGGUGAUUUGGUUUUAAGUUGUUAUCUCUUACAUCUUCACGUCACUCAGUAAGCUUUUCUGCUCUCUGUCAACCUUAAAAUGCAUAAACAUCACAAAUAUGAGAAAUAUAUAUCUUAUUUUGAAUAAAAAUUAGUAUUGCAAAAAUUAGUGUUGGGCAUUUUUUUAUAUUAUUCUAUCACACAGUGGCAGAGCAGUCUAGUUUGUCUCUGCACAUGCAAGUGUCUUACUAACAUUCAAACAAUGAAUUUACUGAGUUUCCUAAGUACACACUCUCCCCACAUCUCACCCUCCCCCAGAUCCUUUAAUAUCCUCCCCCUGGCCUAGGCCAUCCUGACUUCUGUUUUCCUACCUGGGCCUGGCCCUGAUGUCCCCUUUCUGCCACCAAGUUCCUGUGCAAUGGCCUUGUCACUCACAGCUUCUCAAACAGAACAAGCUCAGCCUGAUUCCACCUCUGCACAUGGCUGCAGCCUAUGGGAUUUUCCUUAGUCCCAAGAAAGCACAGUAUCCUCCGCACCUCUGGUCUUUUGCACAUACCGUUUCUGUCACCAGGAACACUCUUCCCCUCCUAUCACCUGCAGUCACCUGACUAAAUUCCUACUCAUCCCCAGCCUCUUCCCUCUAUUCCAAGCUCUAAGCCCCAAAACCCCUGCUUCCUGGCAUCAAUCUCUUAACCUUCUCAGAACCAAAUUUCCCUUUCCAGCAUUUUGCACACUCCCAAUUAUUGAAGGACCUUUUUUUUUUUUACUCUUGGAAAGUCUGAUUUCCCUUCUACACAGUAAUUUCUAUGAACAUGAGUCUGCAUGUGGGCUCUGGCAUGUUGCUGCAAACAAAUACUAGCUGACAGGACAGUGGUUUGUAAACCACGUGGCCCUGGGCUGGAAUCGUCCUCUGAGGUCUGUUUAACCACUUCGCCUGAGCUGACUUUCCUCUGUCAUGGUGUCUGCAGGCUUUGCAACAUGAUACUCUGUGGGGAGGACAGAGGAGGUGCAAGCUCACUCCCUCUGUUGGAGGAACAGGACCAGUCUCAUCCACCUGCUGCACACUCAUCAUUGAUGGCACUAAAAACCCUUCUCCAGUGCCGCCCGACUCUGCCUGGGCCACCAAGGGAAGAGAAGGAACAUGGAGGGGACCCUGAGCCUCAGUGAGAUCUGAGUGGGGAGGAGCGGAGGUCCCAUCGAGAGCAGAGCAAUCAGGAAGGAACCUCAUCAAGUGCCGUUCAGGUGGCAGAGGCGUCCCUUCCUCCCUUCAAGGAUUCAACCAAAAGUCACACAGACACAGAGAUGGAACCUUUGCCAACAGACGUAGAGAAGGGAGCUCAGGAGUCCUCGUUCUUCGGGUCUCAGGCAUUUGAACAAUUUCCAAAAUGAUGGCACCUUCUCCACUAAUGGAAGAAACAAAAAUACACUUCAGUUGCUUUCUUCUGAUCAAAAAAGGUGGGCCAGUUUCAAAAAAGCCUGUCAUAGGCAUUGCACUCAGGAGCAAUCUCUGGGCUCCUGAUCGUCCCAUCAAGCUGGAUGGCCGGGUAAUUGGGACCAUUAGUGUCACAGCAGCAUCAGGACCCCUGGCUUCUGACAACAUCAACGAGCAUCUAUCUCGGAGGCUCAGCACAGCGCUGGCUGGAACAGGAGCUGUAAUUGGAGGGUCCCAGCCCCUCCCCAGCGCUGCUGCUAUUGGAAAAACCAACUUGGUCACACCAGCCACAGCCUCCAAAGCCACCCAGAAAGCGGUGGCAGGGUGAGGUCUGCGACUCCCCAACCACGUCACUCUGUCUGGAAUUUGGGUUCUUUAAGGUUCCCAGGGUCCAGCACAGUAGCCCAAGUGAGGACCACCAAGACAUGGAACAUAUUCAGAAGGGCCGACCGUGCAGGGUGCCACAGGGAGCUUACAGUCCCCAGGAGAAGUGACAAGUGACAGCCUGAGAAAACAAAUGUAGCAGAUGCUGUUGGGCCCACCAAGGCCCUUGGUCAUCACUACUUUGUCCUGCAGUGGCUUCUCGCUCCCCCCUUUACCUGGGGUCUUCCCCAGGUGCAGGACCUGUGUGACCAGGAACUGGCCUCCCAGGAAGCAGCCCCAGGGCAGGCCCGGCUCCCCACCCUCCAGCACAUCCCCUUGAGGUCCCCCAGAGCCCUGCCAUGGCCAUCUGCCUAUCGUCUUACCAGGACGGGACCUUUUUCUUCCAUCUCACUUCCUGCUCUCCCAGAGCCUUCUGGGACCACCUCAGAUAACUGAACUCACACCGGGUCUCAGGUUGGCUUUUGGAAGAAUCCAACCCAAGGCCCCAUGUAAAGCAUGCAGGAGGUCAGAGGGCAGGAAGGACUCCGGGGAAGGACAGAGGUAGAAGGUUGGGCUGGUGUAGGUGCUGGGACAGUUCGCAGAAGGGCAGAGCAGCCUCCCCAGAGGCGGGUGUUGGUUGAAGCAAAUGCCCAGUUGGCGAGAGGGCAGAGCAGGUAUGGAGAUCAAGAGACAGAGAGCACCCCACCCACCCUGGGAAGAGCAGGGCCCACAUGGCUGAGCCAGAGGGCCUGCUCUCCAGGAGUCGGACAGAACAGGAAAGAAGCAGGAGACAGAUUCUGAGGCGAGGUGGAAGGGGCCUGACCCCGGAGUGCCUUCGGACCGGCCAGCAAGAAAUGUCAAGGCUCAGUGCAGGGGCGUGGCUGACCUGGUGCCAUAUAAAAGAUGGGCCUGUUGCAGUGGAGGACAGAGCAAGGACACCAGGAGAGCUGUCUCUUAACACCCCUCAGAGAGAGUGGAGCUGAGAUGGCAGGGGUGAGGGAGAAAGGAGCCAGCAGGUGUGGGCAGAGCACCUCCGAAGGGGGCCACACCAGUACUUAGGGGAUUGCAGAGGGGAGGGAGCAGGAGAACCCCAAGACCUAUAGACAUGGAGAGAUGCAGAACACAGCUGAACAUGCAAACCCA
RNAcentral lists this long non-coding RNA (4826 nucleotides) under Heterocephalus glaber (naked mole-rat). RNAcentral describes it as "lncRNA (ENSHGLG00000038407.1)". Lineage: Eukaryota; Metazoa; Chordata; Mammalia; Rodentia; Bathyergidae. The record is from RNAcentral.